UACGAAGGGGGCUAGCGUUGUUCGGAAUCAUUGGGCGUAAAGCGCGCGUAGGUGGCUUCGUAAGUCCGUUGUGAAAGUCAAAGGCUCAACCUUUGAAAGCCGAUGGAUACUGCGGAGCUAGAGUACGGAAGAGGCGAGUGGAAUUCCUGGUGUAGCGGUGAAAUGCGCAGAUAUCAGGAGGAACACCAGUGGCGAAGGCGGAUCUCUGGGCCUUACCUGACGCUGAGGCGCGAAAGCUAGGGGAGCAAACAGG
This 253-nucleotide ribosomal RNA is filed under the name uncultured bacterium. RNAcentral's name for it is "partial 16S ribosomal RNA". It matches the Rfam family "Bacterial small subunit ribosomal RNA", at positions 524 to 776 of the family's 1533-position model. The record is from RNAcentral.